Paramuricea clavata is the source of this 247-nucleotide non-coding RNA. NCBI's taxonomy places the organism in Eukaryota, Metazoa, Cnidaria, Anthozoa, Malacalcyonacea, Plexauridae. The record is from the annotation of a GenBank genome assembly.
GCAUGAUAUUAUCGAAAAAAUAAAAAUCAGCUAAUUUUGAUCCUUUUAUGACUAUGUCUGCGGAUUGUUGUAAUAUAAAUAUGGGAUAUUGGUUGAUGACAAGGUAUUUAUAAAACACAAUCGUACUUUUCUGCCCCCUGUGUUCGUACAUGCAAAUAAAAUCGAGUUGUCGCUCGGCUAUACAUAACUCGGCCAACCGGAAACGGACUGGUGCGAGAAAAACACAUCGUCAAGAAUAGGUGGCUGC